This 254-nucleotide ribosomal RNA is filed under the name uncultured bacterium. RNAcentral describes it as "partial 16S ribosomal RNA". It matches the Rfam family "Bacterial small subunit ribosomal RNA", at positions 524 to 777 of the family's 1533-position model. The record is from RNAcentral.
UACGAACUGUGCGAACGUUAUUCGGAAUCACUGGGCUUACAGGGUGCGUAGGCGGCUUGUUAAGUAGGGUGUGAAAGCCCCCGGCUCAACCGGGGAAUAGCGCCCUAAACUGGCGAGCUAGAGUGAGAUAGGGGUGUGUGGAACUUCCGGUGGAGCGGUGAAAUGUGUUGAUAUCGGAAGGAACGCCGGUGGCGAAAGCGACACACUGGAUCUUGUCUGACGCUGAGGCACGAAAGCCAGGGGAGCGAACGGGG